ACCUAUUUUUAAGCCUAAUUUUCGGAACUAGUCCAUAAUUUCCAAGCCCAUAAUUCCUAGGCUCAUACCCCCUAACCUAAAAACCCAUAUAAAACAAAUGAGACCUAGGGCCUAAGAGAGACAAUCCGCCGUUUCCCUUCUGCAUCUACAUAAAAAUUUCCUACACUAAAAAGAAAGCAGCGGAAGAACGAGACCCCUCCCUGACUCUGCCGUCUCAAUCCCUUAUCAAUUCCUAAUAGCGCUCUACCACACCCCGCUACCCAUAUCCAUCGCCCAUGCUCGUUCCUUUUUCCAAAAUCAAAUCCACCCAUUUACUCAAUUCUCAAAAUUUAGCACUGUUGUAUCAGUAUUCGAGAAAAUUAGAUCAACUUAUAUAUUUUUGAUAAUUCAAGGUUUGUUAUUCAAUUAUUAGAUUGAAUGCAAAUAAAGAGAUGGGAAUAACUGAUAAGUAAUUUAAAAAUCUGAUUAUCAUGUCGAUCUCUAGCUUCUUCUUCUGAUUUCUAAUUUGAAAAAAAAACCAUGGAAUUCAAUCGAGUUUGAAUGCUGUUGCUCUUCAUUUGGACAAAACUGUAACCCGAAGUUUCUCUAAUCUGGAAGAAAUUUUUCGCCAUUGAGGUGUUCCCUCGUGAAUGCGGAGGAGCUGGAGUUUUAACUACAUCCUCCAUUUUGAUCCGGAAAUAGAAUGUUCUCUUCCCAGGUUAAGGGGGAGGCCGAAGCUAGAGCUAAAAUUGUAGAGUUGGGCAUCGUAGUCCAACCACAGACAAUAAAAAUGGCAGAAAACGACGAGCGACCAGUGAUAGAGAGUGCAAGGCCUAAUCUUGCUAAUAUGACUCAGACUAUCUUGAAGCCUAAUAUCACUAGUCACUUUGAGCUUAAACAGUGCAUGGUGCAGUUAAUUCAGUCCAUAAGGCAAUUUGUGGGUCUCUCUCAUGAAGACCCACAGAUACAUAUCCACAACUUUUUGAAAAUUACAGAUACUUAUAAUUAUCUGAAUAUUUUCAAAGAUUAUGUCAGACUGACAAUGUUUCUCUUU
Molecule: non-coding RNA, 1033 nt
Organism: Nicotiana tabacum (common tobacco)
Lineage: Eukaryota; Viridiplantae; Streptophyta; Magnoliopsida; Solanales; Solanaceae
Source: RefSeq, a predicted model, not a curated record